AACAACCAAAGGCGCGGGAUGCGCCAAGGAAAAUCGAAACGAAUCUGACUCCUGCCUCGGUGCAUUGCAUCGUGUCGGCGAGUGUAUUCGAUAAGUCAUAACGACUCUCGGCAACGGAUAUCUCGGCUCUCGCAUCGAUGAAGAACGUAGCAAAAUGCGAUACGUGGUGUGAAUUGCAGGAUCCCGUGAACCAUCGAGUUUUUGAACGCAAGUUGCGCCCGAAGCCUUUAGGCCGAGGGCACGUCUGCCUGGGCGUCACGCACCGUUGCCCCCCAAACCCCCUCAGUCCUCCACGGAGGAUUGGCGAGGCGCGUGGGGGGCGUAAAGUGGCUUCCCGUCGGCUUUGUCCCGCGGUUGGCCUAAAAAUGAAUCCCUAGCCGCGGUGCGCGCGGCAUUCGGUGGUCAUCGAUCCCUUUCGUUACCCCGCCGCGCGCUCACGUGCCGCGAAGGAUGUCACACUAGUAAACCCGACGCCUCGCUUUGUGAAGAGCGGAGCUUACAACGCGACCCCAGGUCAGGCGGGAUUACCCGCUGAG
RNAcentral lists this ribosomal RNA (536 nucleotides) under embryophyte environmental sample. RNAcentral's name for it is "eukaryotic LSU rRNA". The stretch from base 103 to 258 matches the Rfam family "5.8S ribosomal RNA". The record is from RNAcentral. Lineage: Eukaryota; Viridiplantae; Streptophyta.